This is a long non-coding RNA of Papaver somniferum (opium poppy), 655 nucleotides long. RefSeq lists it as uncharacterized. The record is from RefSeq and is a predicted model, not a curated record. Lineage: Eukaryota; Viridiplantae; Streptophyta; Magnoliopsida; Ranunculales; Papaveraceae. The transcript is spliced from 4 exons.
AAAUCGAUGGCCACCAGUUCAACCCCACAGGCCCGUAUUAAGCUAGGUAAAAUUAAUCAGAUUGCCUUCUCCGGAUAUUGUUCUUCCUCUCAGAUCUCAUACAUAUUACUCAAAAUCAUCACUUUCACAGACUCCUUUUCAAUUUUUCUGAAAUUUUAACUUCUUCUUCGCAGUUCAUCUUGAUUUGAACUGAUUCAUCUUCUCGGUUUCCUUUUAGUCCUUUGCAGCUGCAGUGGAUUUGGUUCUUGCAGUUAAUGAUGAAUAAUUUGCAUAAAGAUAUCGUACUAAACAUCCUUGUUAAAUUACCCGUAAAGUCGAUUGGGCGAUGCAGGUGUGUGAUUGAUCCUAGGCGGGGAUGGAGCGGUGAUGGGUCAGUAUUGCCAAUUUCUGGAGGGGCAAAUCGGAGACAGUGAUCACAUUAUAUACUACCUGUUGGAGUUAAAUGUGUUGUGCGUCCUGCUUCAUUGUUCACAUUUAACUGCAAGGUUCAGUUGAGUAGAUUUUCAGCAUCUCAGGUUAACAUAAUCUGAGAAUUCCCUGCCAUAUUUUUUUUCUGGGCAAUGUAUUUGGAUCUAGUUCGCCUGUAUUUGCAAACACACUAAUUAUGUAUAACAGCUCAUCUUAAGCUUGCUUCCUACCAAGUUUCAACCUUGAA